CGAAAGCCUGACGGAGCAAUACCGCUUGCGGGACGAAGGCUUUUGGGUCGUAAACCGCUUUUGUUAGGGAAGAACACAAUGACGGUACCUAACGAAUCAGCAUCGGCUAACUCCGUGCCAGCAGCCGCGGUAAUACGGAGGAUGCAAGCGUUAUCCGGAAUUAUUGGGCGUAAAGCGUCCGCAGGUGGUUUAUCAAGUNUGCUGUUAAAGGAUGGGGCUUAACCCCAUAUCGGCAGUGGAAACUGAGAGACUAGAGUACGGUAGGGGUAGCGGGAAUUCCCAGUGUAGCGGUGAAAUGNGUAGAUAUUGGGAAGAACACCAGCGGCGAAGGCGCGCUACUGGGCCGAAACUGACACUGAUGGACGAAAGCUAGGGGAGCGAAAGNGAUUAGAUACCCCUGUAGUC
Molecule: ribosomal RNA, 405 nt
Filed under: uncultured bacterium
Lineage: Bacteria
Description: bacterial SSU rRNA
Rfam family: Bacterial small subunit ribosomal RNA
Source: RNAcentral